UCAAAAAACUAAUGCAAUUUUUAUUCAAAUAUAUCAUCUAAGUGAUAAUUACAGUGCUUGAAAUUAGAAUCCAUACCUCAAGAACAAUGUAAAAAAACAUCAGAAUUGCUAAAUAGAAUGCAGAGCAAGCGAGCCGACAGAACAGGACAACAACUAGAUCGAACAACGAACCAAGAGUUGGAACCUCGACGCUAGAAAAAACGACAAGACUUCACGUGCAACCAAACCUUGAUUCAACUAGCAAAUCCAGCACCAAGAACUACACAUCUGAGGGGCCAUUGCAAUACUGCAAAAUAGCAACGAAUAGAGAAGAAGGAAAAAGAUGAAGACACCAUUUUUGGAGAAUAAUGUAAAAGGCCCAAACUUGCUGAUAAUUUCAUAGAAAAUAUAGCUGGGUGUUUUUUUUUUCUUUUUGAAAGGGAAGGUCUGAUUUUCUCUACUUCAAAGGGAGAGAGGUGUGCCGUGUAUGGGGAAAGGAUCUGCUCUCUUCUUCUUCUUUUUUCGGGGAAAUAGCCAUGGGUGCCCCCCCUUUUUUUAGAGUGGUCUCCUGAUUAGAAGAAGAAUAGUGCCGUUUUUGGAAAUUUUUAGAGAGGAAUCCCUUUCUUCUUUUUCUAAAAUCUGAUCUCUAGGUUAAG
RNAcentral lists this long non-coding RNA (635 nucleotides) under Nicotiana benthamiana. RNAcentral describes it as "long non-coding RNA (NBEN_LNC038136)". The record is from RNAcentral. Lineage: Eukaryota; Viridiplantae; Streptophyta; Magnoliopsida; Solanales; Solanaceae.